UGAUUAUUGGCUCAGAUGGUAAAGCGUCUGCCUGCAAUGCGGGAGACCUGGGUUCGAUUCCUGGGUCAG
RNAcentral lists this transfer RNA (69 nucleotides) under Bos taurus (domestic cattle). It matches the Rfam family "tRNA". Rfam says of the family: Transfer RNA (tRNA) molecules are approximately 80 nucleotides in length. Their secondary structure includes four short double-helical elements and three loops (D, anti-codon, and T loops). Lineage: Eukaryota; Metazoa; Chordata; Mammalia; Artiodactyla; Bovidae. The record is from Rfam by way of RNAcentral. RNAcentral also lists the same sequence under 3 other names.